RNAcentral lists this long non-coding RNA (840 nucleotides) under Homo sapiens (human). RNAcentral's name for it is "HSALNT0006085". Lineage: Eukaryota; Metazoa; Chordata; Mammalia; Primates; Hominidae. The record is from RNAcentral.
AUGGAGUAGAAAUGAGCCAGGCAUGCAACGAAACUUCGUCCCUGGUGAGGUCCUGGUAAGUCCCAGGCCCACAGGCUGAGGGUCCUGGGGCAUGUAGUGCCACAUCUCCCUCUUCAGUGAAACAAGAGGCUCUCACAGAGUUCCUCUGAAAGCCUCUUUCAUCAACAAGUCCAUUUGUGAUUCUGUCUCUUCUUGUGGUGACCACCAGGAAAACGAGAGAGCAGAGCUGCAUUCUAGGGUUUUGCUAUGACUCUUCUAGGCCCAAUCUUAAAACUGAGAUGAUCAUGCCAAACCCCCAGCUCCUCCCCUACACUCCAGACUCAGAGUAAGCUCAUUCACCAGGCAAGUGCAAAAAGACCUAGAAGAUCUGCCCAGCCAAGAAGAAGUUUCAAGUCACAAACUUGCACUUUGAGGGGACAACAUGGAACUCUCACCUAUUGAACCCUUACUAUUUGCCAAUAACUGUGGUGAGUACCUUUCAUUUAAUCCUCAUAUCAACUUCAUUAAGUUAACAUUGUCUCCGUUUUAAGCUUGUGGAAACAGAGCUUCAGAGAAGGUAAAUGUGACAAGGUCAUUCAACCAAUAAGUGGUUGAAAUAGGAUUCAAACCCAGCUCUGCCUUCAGUUGCUCUUAACUAUGAUGCUAUAUUUCCAUGAAAUUUUAAUAACUCUCAUCACUACAAAUACUCUUUAUGACACAACUCUUGCAUAAAUUGUUCCCUGACAUACCAUGGGCAUUAUUCUUGUAAUAUUUUCCACUCUUCAAUAUUCAACUUUUAUAUCUUUUAAUGUCCUACUUAAAUCUUAUCUUUGUAAACUAUCACAAGAACAAAAAACCAAA